GACGAACGCUGGCGGCGUGCUUAACACAUGCAAGUCGAGCGGAAAGGCCACUUCGGUGGUACUCGAGCGGCGAACGGGUGAGUAACACGUGAGUAAUCUGCCCCUGGCUUUGGGAUAGCCACCGGAAACGGUGAUUAAUACCGGAUACGACCACUUCUCGCAUGGGAUGGUGGUGGAAAGUUUUUUCGGCCAGGGAUGUGCUCGCGGCCUAUCAGCUUGAUGGUGAGGUAAUGGCUCACCAUGGCUUCGACGGGUAGCCGGCCUGAGAGGGUGCCCGGGCACAGGGGGACGGGGACACGGCCAGGACUCCUAGGGGAGGAAGCAGUGGGGAAUAUGGGACAGGGGGGGGAAGCCUGAGCCAGCAACGCCGGGGGGGGAAGGACGGCCUGCGGGUUGAAACCCUCUUACGGCGGGGAGGAGGCGAAGGGGACGGUACCUGCAGAAGAAGCACCGGCCAACUACGGGCCAGCCGCCGCUGUAA
RNAcentral lists this ribosomal RNA (481 nucleotides) under uncultured bacterium. RNAcentral's name for it is "partial 16S ribosomal RNA". It matches the Rfam family "Bacterial small subunit ribosomal RNA", at positions 28 to 523 of the family's 1533-position model. The record is from RNAcentral.